UACGGAGGGUGCGAGCGUUACCCGGAUUUACUGGGCGUAAAGCGCGUGCAGGCGGGAAGGUAAGUCUGAUGUGAAAGCCCCGGGCUUAACCCGGGAAGUGCAUUGGAAACUGCUUUUCUUGAGUACUGGAGAGGAAGGGGGAAUUCCCGGUGUAGAGGUGAAAUUCGUAGAGAUCGGGAGGAAUACCAGUGGCGAAGGCGCCCUUCGGGACGGUUAAUGACGUUGAGACGCGAAAGCGUGGGGAGCAAACAGG
Molecule: ribosomal RNA, 253 nt
Filed under: uncultured bacterium
Lineage: Bacteria
Description: partial 16S ribosomal RNA
Rfam family: Bacterial small subunit ribosomal RNA
Source: RNAcentral